AAAUAGCCCUGAUUGAAGUGGAAAUAAAAAAUGCUUUCAUUGUAUGAAGGCAUUUUUUUAUUGCAACGGAAAGCAGGAAAAUGG
RNAcentral lists this small RNA (84 nucleotides) under Flavobacterium aquatile LMG 4008 = ATCC 11947. RNAcentral's name for it is "Flavobacterium aquatile LMG 4008 Flavo-1 RNA". It matches the Rfam family "Flavo-1 RNA". The record is from Rfam by way of RNAcentral. Lineage: Bacteria; Pseudomonadati; Bacteroidota; Flavobacteriia; Flavobacteriales; Flavobacteriaceae.